UCUGUUUGUUGUGUGGUUAUGCAACAAGCCAUGAAAAUAUUUCUAUACAUGAACAGGCUGGCCAAUGAGGUGGGAACACAUAGCUUCCUCUUACCCUUGUCUGAUCUCUGCCUCACCCAAACACAGACAUCAACUCAGGAGUGCUCUCUAGAGGCUACAAGGUGCAAAGAAUUUCAACUGGAAGCACUGGUAACGUACAUAAAUGAGAAUGGGACAGCAGUGUGACGCAGCAGUUAGAAAGGUCAUCCUCUGUUUGGGAAUCCACAGACCCAGCCGAAGCCUCAGUCUGUGAGUCAUGAGCGUCUGGAUUGUUCUGGAGGUCCGUCGGGAGCGGCUGUUUGUCGGAUGCGCCAGCAGGGGCAGUGUUACUCUCACGGGUGUCCACAUAUGCGAAUCUGUGUCGCCUGUGUUCUGGAGGUGCAUGAUGGGAAUGUGCGCCGUGCCGCUCAUCAGUGGAAACUGCAGGUUCG
Long non-coding RNA from Thunnus maccoyii (southern bluefin tuna), 470 nucleotides. RefSeq lists it as uncharacterized. The transcript has 3 exons. The record is from RefSeq and is a predicted model, not a curated record. NCBI's taxonomy places the organism in Eukaryota, Metazoa, Chordata, Actinopteri, Scombriformes, Scombridae.